RNAcentral lists this transfer RNA (77 nucleotides) under Gammaproteobacteria bacterium. RNAcentral's name for it is "tRNA-Val". It matches the Rfam family "tRNA". From Rfam's summary of the family: Transfer RNA (tRNA) molecules are approximately 80 nucleotides in length. Their secondary structure includes four short double-helical elements and three loops (D, anti-codon, and T loops). The record is from RNAcentral. Lineage: Bacteria; Pseudomonadati; Pseudomonadota; Gammaproteobacteria.
AGGCGCGUAGCUCAGUUGGUUAGAGCACUACCUUGACAUGGUAGGGGUCGCUGGUUCGAGUCCAGUCGUGCCUACCA